GAUGAACGCUGGCGGCGUGCCUAAUACAUGCAAGUCGAGCGAACAGACGAGGAGCUUGCUCCUCUGACGUUAGCGGCGGACGGGUGAGUAACACGUGUAUAACCUACCUAUAAGACUGUGAUAACUUCGGGAAACCUGAGCUAAUACCGGAUAAUAUAUUGAACCGCAUGGUUCAAUAGUGAAAGACGGUUUUGCUGUCACUUAUAGAUGGAUCCGCGCCUCAUUAGCUAGUUGGUAAGGUAACGGCUUACCAAGGCAACGAUGCGUAGCCGACCUGAGAGGGUGAUCGGCCACACUGGAACUGAGAAACGGUCCAGACACCUACGGGAGGCAGCAGUAGGGAAUCUUCCGAAAUGGGCGAAAGCCUGACGGAGCAACGCCGCGUGAGUGAUGAAGGUCUUCGGAUCGUAAAACUCUGUUAUUAGGGAAGAACAAAUGUGUAAGUAACUAUGCACGUCUUGACGGUACCUAAUCAGAAAGCCACGGCUAACUACGUG
Molecule: ribosomal RNA, 497 nt
Filed under: uncultured bacterium
Lineage: Bacteria
Description: partial 16S ribosomal RNA
Rfam family: Bacterial small subunit ribosomal RNA
Source: RNAcentral